Molecule: ribosomal RNA, 253 nt
Filed under: uncultured bacterium
Lineage: Bacteria
Description: partial 16S ribosomal RNA
Rfam family: Bacterial small subunit ribosomal RNA
Source: RNAcentral
UACGGAGGGGGCUAGCGUUGUUCGGAAUUACUGGGCGUAAAGCGCGCGUAGGCGGACCUGCAAGUCGGGGGUGAAAGCCCGAGGCUCAACCUCGGAACUGCCUUCGAUACUGCGGGUCUCGAGUCCGGGAGAGGUGAGUGGAAUUCCUAGUGUAGAGGUGAAAUUCGUAGAUAUUAGGAAGAACACCAAUGGCGAAGGCAGCUCGCUGGGACGUGACUGACGCUGAGACGCGAAAGCGUGGGGAGCAAACAGG